CUGCCCCACCCUGGGGGCCCCAGCAGCUCUGCCAGGACCUGUGGAACCCUGCAUCCUCAUGAGAGUCCAUCCAUCCUACUUCUCCUGCAGGAAGAUGCCAAACAGGCCUUUCAAAAUGCAUGCCGUGUGACAUAAUGCCAUGACUCUCUUCCAUGAGCAGACAGAGAAGGAAGUGGCCUAGGAUCACACGUGCUACUUUGUUCGCCUACUUCUGAAAAGACUUGAGAGUGUGGCAGUAAAUGGCACAGAUACAAGAAAACUCUUCACGUGAAGAUAAAAGGAUUAGAACCAAGCCGCAUGAGAGAAUCAAGGACAAAAAGAAGAAUCUUCCCAGGAAGACAGGCUAAGGGGGCUCUUGCAGUUAAGAACAAAAUUCAUCUCUGGGUUACAGGUGGCAAAGGCCAAAAAGGAGACCCUGUUUCCAACGCUCUCACUAUAUAAUUAAAGGACACAAACCACAGUAUCAGGGGAUACAAAUGUUUUCUCAGCUCACAGCUCUGGGAGGAAGUUAUCAAAUGGGCUACUGUUACCUGAGACACUGUACUUUAUGAACUCAUGCCUUCAGUCAUUUAUUGGACGCUUCCUGGGUGCUGGUCGUCAUGCAGAGAGCUGGAGUUAGGGGCAUAAACUGCGCUGGCACAGUCUCAGCACGUCUCGCAGGCAGUCACUUUCGUCUGUGUACUUACCUGUGCUGUGUGCUUCCUGCAGUGAUUUAUCAGUAGUGCAAAGAGGGAAGUACAGAUGGUUUGACAGUAACCAUGAGGCCUGAUCUAGUACAGGGCAGUGCUGGCCAUUCAGUUUUCUGUGGGGAUGGAAAUGCCUGUAUCUGGGCUGUCCAGUAACCUCUAGCCACUUAUAGCUCCGGACACUUGAAACGUGGCCAGUGCAGCUGAGGAACUGAAUGUUUCAUUUUAUUUACCUUUAAUUAAAUGUGAACUGCCACAUGUGGCUAACGGCUACUUAUUGGACAGUGCAGGUUGAGUGCAAGGUGUGGGCAUGGAAGUCAUCUCUUAGGGAGUGACUUUCAUUUUGGAGCCUGAAGGAUAAGCAGGAAUUAGCCAGCAAAACAUGUCAAGGGAGAGAAUUCCAGGCAGAAGGAACAGCUUAUAUGAAUCUCCUGUUGUGAAACAAAAAAGUAGUUUCUUCAGGAAACUUAAAGAGCUUCAUUGUGGCUGAGUGAGGGGAAAAGUGGUCCCCAAGAUGAGGCUGGAGGGGUGGGCAUAAUUUUUGGUUUUCCCAAGUUGCUUUCCUAGGCUGUGGGAGAAAAAACGGCAAACUGCUUCUCAGAUGCUAACAGGUAAGGACCAGUCAAUCUGAAACUCAGCCCUGAAAACCUUCCUGAAAUCUGCCCCGACCAGCAGGGAGCCAUAUCCAUUUCCAGUCCUGACCUGGAGCUGGUGGCCAAUCAACUUGGCCUCAGCCCAUGUGAACGGGUUUCCUGAGCCGAGCCAGCAGUCGAUGCUACUGUUUUCAGCUCUUCUCAGAGAUUGAUUAUGUAAGUACCCAGGGCAAGCAAACAUGCCUAGCCCCAUUGGCCCCAUCACGCUGCCCAUCAGGACCCAGAGCUGCCCCAACGUGGGCUGAUUCUAGCUGUGUAGUGAGGCCCCAAGAGGCCCCAACUUCAGGCUUCCGGCUAGUGCUCUUGGAGUAUGUUCAGUCAUGUUCGGAGUAUGGGGCCAAUUUAUUUUCAUAUCUGCAAUGAAGGAGAUUCAAGUAACUGAAGCAGACAACAGUAGCAUUAGGCGAGACGUGCCUGUCCUUCCAGCUUACACUGACUUGGACCUGACGCUUGUACAAAGGUACCAAUAACAGGCCACGCCCUGCCUUUUUGAUGAGCACUGUCUAAUAAUGCCAUGCCUGAUGAAACAGGGGGAGGGAAAGAAGACUUGGCUUCUUACUGGCAGAUGGGAGAAGCAAGAUCCCCUCUAAGGGAGGGAGAGACUGUCUGUGGAAGAAAACUUCCUCACCAAACCCGCCACAGUAGGAAUUCUAAACCGCUGGAGGUGCUGACAUUUCUGCAUAGUGUUUUUCUUUCUUUAACUAGCAGGAGUAGAUUUGUACCACAGUGAAGCAGACUGGCCAGAAUGGUCUCCAUUCUGGAUUAGCCUUUCAAACAGUUGCUUUUCUAGGACAGUCACUUACACUCAGAAAACAACAGAAAAUGCUGGCUACUCUGACCUCUCCACUUGCAGUGGUUCCUGGGAACUGUUAAGAGUGGGGAGGGGACAGGGUCUGUAACAAAUUGAAGGGGAAUGUCAGCUCUGGACACGUUACCUGUACGGUUGGGUUGAGGACGUGGAGCUCUGUCACAGUGACAUUAAGAAUUUUAGCCUUAUAAAGAAAUUAGGGACGACAGAUGACAUGGGUAUUUGGUGAACACAUUUUUCUGACUCUGUCAGUGGCAGCAGCUCUGGUGGAAGUGGCCUCAGGAGUAAAUGCCACUUGGAGCGCCCCGCGAUGGGCUAUCCAGUGAUCUUGGGCUGCUCACUAAACCUCUGAGCUCAGGAGUCCCUUUCACCUCAACCCCCUAGGUUCCUUGUAGCUCUGAAUUUUCUGAUUCUUUGGCAGAGACCGCCAAAGUUAGAAAAUGUCUUUUGAAUUACAAGCACACGGUAUCUAGUCUUGGACUUGUUUCUAUUGCUGCUAUUUGAGAAUUCAGUCAGACUCUGAAUACAUUACUAGAACAAACAAUUUAAAGAAAAAAUACUUAUUUUAGGGGAUCGUGAAUAAAAGAGAUCAUAAAGUGACUAAGCAUUCCCUAAUGUAUCAAGCAUUUUAUUUAUUUUUCUAGAGUGGUUCUGCUUAAGUGAGGUUCAUCUUUAACUCAAGGCUGCACUGCCUGUGGAUCCCUUUGGUCUCAGUAUUCAUGCCCUCGGUCCUGCCCUCAUUCGGCACGUGUGACCUCAGCUGUACAGUAUCUCACAAGGUACAACAUGGAGGAAAUGAACCUGCAGUAGGGAUCUGGAAGGAUCUUAGCACCUCAAAGAAAGGUGCUAUAGAAACACAGGCUGAUAGCACCUGUAUUGUCACCUUUUUUAAAAAUUAGGGGACAGAAAUCUUCAAAAGCAUCAUUCUUGAACCACUUUCUUUUCUUGCUAAUGAAAGUAAAUGCCAGGAUCAGUCUGUGGCAACACUGAGAAGGGAACGUUCCCUCCUCCCCACUUUGGUGCCAUUUCUACUCCUACCUAUCCCACUACCAUCCUUCUCCUUAAGUAUCUAGAGUCUUAAGACUGAGAAAAUUACCUCAUACCAAGCAUUUGCAGAUUGAUGUGAAUCUGCUUCUAUACAGCACUUCUCCAAGGGGUAUCUGUAUUCUAAGCUUCAAUUUUAAUUGUAGCGAAGGAAUUACAUGCUUCACGGUGCAAAUGGUGGUAAUUGGGAAAGAGGGGAGAUAAGGACCUCUUGCCAGCUAUGCAUGGCGUGUACAUAGGGCUCCCCCCAAGUCAAUACCUGUAGAUGACAGUAUGGACUUCCAGGUAAGAUUAAGGGACUUGGAACUCUUAAGAACUAUGCAAGUCAUUAAUAUACAGAUUUACACAUGUACACCUACACAGAACACACAUAUAUGUAUGUAAAUGAGCAGGAUGCUGAAUGGCUCAUUACUAUGUGGACCAUAAUGUACCAAUAGCGAAAUUCUGAACCUAAAAUUUAACCUCUAGACCUAGUAAUCAUUUGCUAUAGUAAUUAAAUUCUGUCCUGUAACCCGGUCUCACAAAGGGCUCCUAGUAAACAUUUGGAGAAUAGGUUCAGGUAUCAGCCAGGCAUGUAAAGGAGUCCCUGUGGUGGCAUAAAUUAUUUUAAGCAUUUUUGGGGAAGGGAGGACUAGGAGAAAAGGCCAUGUCAUUACAACACCAAAAGGAUCAAUUUGGUAGCACAAAAAACUCAGAUUGGUUCCAAAACAGCUGUUUGCCAGAUACAUUUCUUAAGAUUGAGUUCUUAGAUCUCCAAAACCUAGGCAAGUAACUUGAUCGUGUUAUCAAAAUUCUACCUUUACUCUCUCCUUUCCGAGGAAGAAGGCGGUGGCGUGCAGCACGUCCGCGGCGUGGGUGGAGUUGUGGUAAGCGUUGGAGGAGUGGUAGUUGGCUUCAAUCACUUGCAGCCAGGCCCGCAGAGUAGUUUCAGAACAGUGUAAAAACUCACAUACUCCGAACCGGGAAAAGAUCUUUAAUCCCAGGUAAACCAAUGGCCUGCAAACAAGAAAACAAACCCUGACUCACUGUAUUCACUGCUCCAGAAAUUGCUUUCUUUGUAGAUACUUUAUACUUACUGCACAAGCACAAGGGUAUAAAAAUGUGUCCUCUCCAAAUCAGGAGAUAGAGCAUCUCCCCUUCACCAGGCACUUCCUGAAAACCAGGUGCCUCAGGGUGGUUAAUCCAAAUGACCUCUAGACAGUCUCUAAGUUAUCUGCCUUUCAGUGGCUCUAACAACCAAGAAACAUCCCUGACAGUCGCUCUCCAUCUCCGCUUCCACAUAAGCUCUGCACUUCCUUUGUGUCCCCUGAGGAAGUUACUGAGCCCGAGGACAAAAGGGAUGGCUUGCGUGGGUUCAGCACAGUCAUGUCAUUUAGAGUCAAGUUAUUUAUAGGUGAGUAGCAUUCAUAUCCUACAGACCAACACCCCUGGAAGAAACAGACUUCUGCAACAGAAGGGGACUUUCUGAGUUAUCUAAUCUUUCCCUUACCUAUAGGAUGGAUCCAAAGAAAAGUCUUCAGUGCUGUCAGACUCAUUUUUUAAGGUGCUGAGAGUUUGGGGCUGAGAAUACCUGGAACCCUUGGCUCACUGGCACAAAGGAGUGACUUGGGUAGAUCUGGAAAGGACACUAUUAUUUCUUCGUCCUGGGUCAUCACCAGGCUGAUCCCACAUCUUACCCACUAAAACGCUUCUCCAUAAAGGUUCUCACUUAAGGGGCCAUAGUCCCUGCUCAUUUCUCCAGCAUGGAAUGAAAGGCAAAACCUCCGAGGUCUUUUGUGGCAAGGAUUCACAUCUCCCUCAAAGUUUUCGGACGUGAAAGUCUAGAGUGUGGCCAUCAAUCCUCCCAUGCCUGCAGACAGAGAAGCACAUACCUUUUAUGUGUCACAGAUUCCAGUUCAAAGAUGUUGAACUCCCAGCUUUCCUCAUUAUCAAGUAAUUGAGCAAUAGAAGGAGGGACGUCAUUGAUGGUUAUUGGCAUCGCAAGGUGACUGUGACUCUGGUGCACAUCUGGACAAACAGAUGAGGUAGGGAAGGGCGGUUAACUGUGGAAUUGUGAGUGCUGCUGAGCAUCUGCCAUCUUCAUGGUUGCCACUAGAAAGAAAGUCUUCAACCUCGAGGGGUAAAAAGAAUUUCACUUCAGGGUUCCCUUACAUUAUUGAACUUCAAGACCCCCAAAUAGAAAAAUAAUCCGGUUUAACUAAAUUUAAAUAUAUAGAGGUUUGCAAUUCCUAUUCUGACAGUGCUCAGAGAAGUAAUUUAAAUUAGGAGAGCUGGUUUCAAAUGUAGACCACAUAAACUCCAGUGAGACCAACAGGAAGUAUCACCAAGGCCCUCCUCAAAUAAUAAUCACAACACUGGGGGAGAGACAGACCAGAGACAGGUUACCAGUAACAGAUGGAGAGAAGACAACUUACUCUUAGUGAACACAUACUCAUUUCCUGACAACCUUCUUAAGCCAUCCUGGAAUAAAGAGAGAUGCUGUGAGAAGCAUGCUUUACUGGCCAUUAUCAUUACUCCCCCAUUUCUUUUAUUAGCCAGAGAGAACUGAAUCCUGAUUAACCCAGCCCAUCUGGAACUCCAAGUUGAAGCUCAGAAUCAAGUCAGAACAAUAGCUACAGAGCAGAGGAUACUCUCCCCUCCACGGCUUUUAGCCCCAGGAGACGGAGAAGUGAGAAUAAAGUGGCUGUGACUGCACUCAGGCCUCACACCUGAGCUGUGAAUUGGCUCUGUUCUCCUGCCAUCUUUCUCCUGUGGCAUUUUGAAGCCACAUUAAUGAGACCAAAGAAGUGAUCUUGCUUUGGAUGCUUGUUAAUUUGAAAGGACCCCACUUACCGUCGUAGGGACACUGUUAUUCUUGUGUUCUUAGAUUUAUAUCCUGGGGAGCCAAAGCCAUGGGCCACAUUUUGGGGAUGACUUAAUGUAAAGCCUUUAAAAGGUUAGGCUAAUUUUUUAUCUAAUAUCUAAAUUAACUUUUUUUCCAACUGUACUUUCUAUCUUGCAGCAUGAGCUUUGCUGCUAGCCUUUAAAAGAAUUUUCUGGAUUUGAGGUCUUUGGAAGGGCAGCAUAAGGGAGUGGACAGAAUUCUGGUGUUCUGCCAUUUACUAGGUUCUUGAACUUGAACUCGUCCCCAGAUGUUCUUGCAUCUCCGUUUCCUGUCCCCUACCCCUGAGUACCUAAUUAUUUAAUUCUUUGCCUAAGUCAUUUACAAUUGCUUAUUUGUCACCCCUAGAAAGCAUGUGCUAAGAUUUAAAGUAUUAGUGAAGGGCUCCCCUGAAGUGACACCUUGGAUCUUUAGGCCAAGAGCUGAAUUUUGAAAACUAGAUAAAUAGGUAAGUAACAAUGGCCGUUACGGUCCUACUUCUAAGGCAGGUAUCACAGGGAACUCCUCUGUUUUUAACCUGCCUUUAUUUCUCCUCUUGCCCAGUGCUACAUGACCUGGAGAGGAAGCCCAGGAGGGUGUGGCGCAGGGGGAGGGCGGGCAGGUACCUUGUUCUAGGAACCAGUCUUCCUGCCGCAGCUCCGCAGUGGCCAGCGCCUCCUGGCAGACCCUUGCCAGUGUUCUUUAGAACUGAGGUCUACACUGCACUGGGAUGGGGCAGCCAGGGCCAGCCCAGGGGCACUCAAGGAAGAGGAGGUCACUCAAGUUACGGGCUCAUCAGAGACCUUUAGUAGGAACACGGAGAACUGGCCAGAAAGCAAGUCAAUACUCAGCGUUUGGUGACAGGAGCAGACAGAAACCUUCAAAGUAAAACUCUUAGAUGACUUGGGCCUCAUUUUCUCCCAAAGAACUCUUCCGGCUUCAGCCUCCAAUAAGGAGCACAAAUGAAUAAUCUGAAUUUUCUUUUUCUUCACUUGCUGAUAGAUGAUUACAGCCAAACAGAUCACAUCAGAAACACUGGAACAGGAUGGCUCCUUAGAAUCGGCUACUUUGGGGGGUUACAUGUGGUGGUACUGGAGUGCUGGCAGGGGGUGGCUUCUCCUCCCCUCCCCGUACCAAGCCAGAACAGCUCCACUCUGCUUUUACUGAUUAUAAAGGGAACUCCAUAUAAAGCUUUUACUCAAAGAAAGAAUUCUACAGCUAAGAUUCUGCAAACUGGUGCUGUCCUCGAAGUACCAACCCUCCCAUUGUAUAAAGAGUCUGAGGUCGAAGGAAGCCUAGCCCUAACCCUCAGUGGAAUACUGUGCCAGGUCAAGGGGAACAAGUAAACAAGGGCCCACUGUGCAUUUUUAGCCUUCAGUCAACUAUCCGUUUAGUCUUUGCUGAAAUAAAAUUCCGAAGGACGAGUUCUGGGCACAAGUGAUCCGUCUGUGCUCCUGCAGCUGCUUCUGGUUAAGCUGAUGUUGGCCCAUUGAGCAGGUGUUUCCACACCCAUGGGUAACAGUGUAUGUGUUGUGUGUUAUAUGUAUUCUGGGGUGAACCUAAUGUCAUCUGCCCUGUAUUUCUAGUUUUCCCUCAUCACUCACAGUCAUCAGGCCUCCCACGAGGUCACUGGUGUGAGGGUCUUCAUCUUUGGUACCCAGCUGUGGGGAGUAUAGUUCUGUGGUCCGUAAAAUUUCUAAAACUCUGUCCAAGGCUUCUGCUACUGUGACAGGACUAUUUUCUUGGGCUGCAUUGAUUAUAUUUAUAACCUAAGGAUGUAAAGAGAGAGAAAGAAUACAUUUGAGGACAUUAGGAUUCUUCUUCCCAAAAGUCAUACGAGUGCCCAGACUCUAAAAGAAAUCAGGUGAUAACACAUCUUGUUGCUCACAAAGGACUAGUGCUUUCACAGCACCACUCCCUUCUUCCUGAAGCGUGCUUUUCACCCCACCUUCUCCCAGUGUUUCUCCUGCUUUGGGGACCAUAAUUUCUCAGGCUCCUUUGCCGACCCUUCUCCUCUAGCUCUCUUCUGCAGGUUGGCGUUCCUCAGAGAUCAGUGCCGGGCCUUCCUCUCACUCUACAGUCCUUUCAGAGAUGAGCUCUUUCAUUUCCAUGACUUUGGACAUACAUGAUCCAGAUGCCAAGGACUCUCAGAUCUACAUCCCAGCCCCGACCUCCUUUUUGACCUUCAGAUUUAUAUACUCAAUUGCUUGCCUGACAUAUCUAUUGGAAUAUCUUGCUUACAUGUCCAAAACUAAACUCAUAAUCUUGUUCCCCUCUUCCCAAAGCAAACAUAACCAAAAAAUGAAAGACAAGAGCUGUUCUACAUUGCAGUGAAAAAACCACUUCUAUUAAUCUUGUGCUCAAACCAAAAACAUAGGAGGCCCUGGGUGACAUACCACUUUUCCUGAAUUCUCUCCCUGCAUGACAAUGUAAUUCAUCAUCAAGACAAGUUGAAUUUACCCCCAAAAUAUUUACUGAUCUGUCCAUUUCUCUCCAACUCCACUACUAUAAUUCUAGUAGAGCUAACACCAUUUCUUGCUUGGAAUUCUGGAAAAGGUCCCUAACUAGCAUCUUCUCUUUCAUUUUUGCCAGCUCCAUCCCAUUCUCUGCAGGGCAGCUGGGUGUUCUUUUCAAUAAACACACUUGAUCAUGUCACUCCACUACUUUAAACUCUCCAGUGAUUUCCAUCACGCAUUAACUAAAACAUGAACUCUCUAUUACAGCCCAACUGGCCAGAAUGAACUGAGCCCUGCGUAACGGUGUCACCAUCUUCUCCCCUCUGCUCUCCCAGCUCCAGUCACACUUGACUCUCAGGUCCUCAGCUGCUCCAUCCCCCACUUGUCCCACCUCAGUUCUCAUCCCUUGCCGUGUCUGCUGCCUAGAGGCCUCUCCUCCCUCUUCUCCGUUUCAGGUCUUCUCCCUUCAGGUCUUACUUCAAACGUUACAUCCUCUACAGAGAGAUCCCUGACCACCCCUCUCACCAACCAAAACAGGGCCCUAACCUGAUUUUCUCUCAUAGGACCCUGCUGUUUUCCUUUAUAGCAGUUUUUGUUACUUAUAACUAUGUAUUAUGUGUUUAUUUAAUAUCUGUUUCCUUUACCAGACUGUAAACUCUAUGAUAUCAGUAGUCUGCCAGUCAUUACUUUAUCUCCAGAAUGGAGCCCAGUGCUCAGUGGCCCUGACUGCAGAGUAGAGGCCGCAGCUGCCACUCACCUUUGUGAUGGGAGCCUCGAUAGUCAUGGAAUGAAUCCUCGCCAUGGAUGGGUAGCGACGAUUCUGUAGACUUGGUGCUGCAGAGAAGUCAAGAAAAUUGUAUCUGGUUUUGGUGGCUCAGCUUGGCUUAAGUGCAGGAAUCCUUCAUGGACUGGGGGCCUGGUUCUCACAGGACUGCUGUUCUGCAGUCCCCCCACAAAGCAAUGAAUUCAACCAUCUCUUAAUCCGAAAAGGCUGAUAGCUCAUCCAGUACUUGCCAGGGUCUGGAAAGGGUGGUCUGGCCUGGAACUUUGAUGGCAGGAAGGCUUUAUGAGUCUCAAGUCCACAAGGGGAAUUUCAGAGAGGGUUCAUGAGAUCCUGAGGCCUCAUCCCAACAGCCUGAUGAUCCCCCAGGACUCACUUUCCUGUAAGUCGCUAAAGCCCAGCGUGGGCAGUUCUGUCACUUUCAGUCUCAGCCGCUGACCAUGUAACUGGAUGAGUACAGUGCAGAAGGGCAGGCGUGGGCCAUGACUAGGGCGGGGGUCAGCAGGAGAAUGAGCCCACGCUCAGUGGAAUUGGGGCCAGGCACUCCAUCCACUUUCCUGAGUAUUUAGGUUCUUAAUACCAAGCUCUCAUCUCUAAAAACUCAGCUAAUCCAGUUGAAAUUCCCUCAUCCAUUAUCCUUUCCAUCUGAGAUAUUCUAUCUAUCUACACCGUCAACCCAUCUGAAAAUAUUUCCAUUCACCUGUUCUUGACAUUCCUGGUCCCCAUCCCUUGCGUGCCAUGUGAUUUAUCCAUCUUCUCUAAAUUACGCAUCUUAUGUCUAAAGUCUUUGGUCCUUGCUAGUUCAGCCACUUGCCUCACACUCAGGUAUCCCAGUGUGACUUGAAGGACAGCACUGAGGAGUGACCUAGUUAUUGAAACUGAGCUGCUCUGGUGUUUACAUGGCCUAACACACUUCAGGCCAUAAAGAAACACGCAUGGAGUCAUUUCCAAGAGAAGAUAAAGACUGUAAAAAGUAAAAAAGAAUAAGAAGGCCUAAAAAUUUUUCUGCCUACAGGGAAAAAAAAGCCAGUUUAGUUGUGAUCCUGCUCCUGGGGCUUUUGUUCACAUGCUGAUGAAUUCUUGAAUAUAUUCCUCUGCCAUUUUCUACAUUUUAGAGUCAAGGAAGUCUGAAAAACUUCUUACCAUCACUGCCUCGAGAUGAUAUUGACUUCACAUCAAUGGACUCUUUCCUCCUGUUCUUGUAUCUGAAUGAAAGUGACUCUGAGGAAUUCAGAUUAGUAAUGGAGAGUGAUUAGUUUUCAGCGUAUUCACAGGUGAAGUUUAGACAUUUUUUCCCCUCAUUCUCCAAAGAAAACAGGGUUACUUUUAAAGCACUGUCAAAUAUUUUUAAUAAUAAACCACUUUCCCUUCAAAUCAUUGGCACACACACAGUUAUCGUCAUACUAGUUGUAAAGUGACGCCCUUUUCUCAUGGUGCCGUAUCACAUUGUAAUGGGGCUUAUUACUACAGGUUGUUUAGUUCCAUGAAUAAAUAUCUCCUUAAACACUGGAACUUGGGGGAAAUCUGGGGGGUGGGGUGGUCAUAAUAAACUGACCUGACGGAUAAUACAUUUAACUGGGUGGGGAAAUCUUUUAUGGAGAUAUUUGAAUAAGAGAAAUAAAAUAUUAGUCAAAUUUACAGAGAGUUGAAUUUAUUUGAGAAACUAAUUUGGACCAAUUUUAGGCCCCUCUGAAAAGUCAGACCCAUAGAUGGUCUUCAAGGUUCUUCUGAGAAUAUAAUUUCAUCAGAUGAUUCAGACUGUUGAUCCCAGGAAGGAAGAGAAGAAAAAUUGGUUUUAUAACCCCAUCAAUUUCACUUUCACUUUUGUACCUGUUUUCUGAGGGGAUAAAAAGCACUUUAAAAAAUCUAUGUUUAGUCUUUGCAGACUUUGAAUUUAAUGUCUCAAAAUGUGCUGUCACAUUGAUGCAAGAUCUAAUCAAAUGAUGGAUGCCACCCGUGAGGACCAGGGGAUAAAUAUGUCAGGACAGCAGGGGUGGCUUCAGAAACCUGCAGUCUCGGGGCAUUUUCUUCUUGUGGGACUAACCCAUAAGCAAGGAGAGAAACUUAACCACAACACAGAAUUUCUCCUCACUGUGGUAAGAGAGGAGGCAGGUGUGCAGGUUUCAGUAGGGAGAAUGCUUUUCUCAGACACCAAUAAAUGAUCAUAUCCAAGAAAGAACAAAAAGAUGCAAUGCUUUUUAAA
This is a non-coding RNA of Vicugna pacos (alpaca), 11491 nucleotides long. The record is from RefSeq and is a predicted model, not a curated record. Lineage: Eukaryota; Metazoa; Chordata; Mammalia; Artiodactyla; Camelidae.